RNAcentral lists this ribosomal RNA (253 nucleotides) under uncultured bacterium. Its description in RNAcentral is "partial 16S ribosomal RNA". It matches the Rfam family "Bacterial small subunit ribosomal RNA", at positions 524 to 776 of the family's 1533-position model. The record is from RNAcentral.
UACGAAGGGGGCUAGCGUUGUUCGGAAUUACUGGGCGUAAAGCGCGCGCAGGCGGCCUUUCAAGUCAGGGGUGAAAGCCCGGAGCUCAACUCCGGAAUUGCCUUUGAAACUGUCAGGCUCGAGUACGGGAGAGGUGAGUGGAAUUCCCAGUGUAGAGGUGAAAUUCGUAGAUAUUGGGAAGAACACCGGUGGCGAAGGCGGCUCACUGGCCCGUAACUGACGCUCAUGCACGACAGCGUGGGGAUCAAACAGG